Molecule: long non-coding RNA, 1084 nt
Filed under: Notechis scutatus (mainland tiger snake)
Lineage: Eukaryota; Metazoa; Chordata; Lepidosauria; Squamata; Elapidae
Description: lncRNA (ENSNSUG00000014815.1)
Source: RNAcentral
UGGAGUCCCAGCGAGAUCGUAUGGUGAAAGCUUUGGCCGAACUGCUUCAGAGGACCAAAGGGACUCCGGGAAGGAUAGGCCGGCAAGCAACAUCUGGUCCAAAAGUGGUCAGGAUGCUUCCUAAGCAGACUCAAGCUGACCCAGAACCUGCUGACCCAUUGAAAUCCACCGCCCCUCCCCUUCUUCCACCACCGACAGAGAAGACACUCAAUUCCACUGCCUCACCCAGGCCACGAGGCCGGCCACGUGGCUCCUUCAGAAAGAAACCAGUUGCAAGACCUCCUCCCAAGAGCACCAAAACUUCCCCUUCCAUCCCGGAGCCUAACAAUAAUAUCCAGCUGCCCUCCUCGUGCACAGAAGAAAUCAAUGCAUCCUCUGAGCCGGCGGAAGCGUUGAAGAAACCACCGCUCAUCCUCAAGUUCUUCUCCAAGGCCAGGCGGCAUAAAUCUGGCCAGUUGGUGGUGACUCACGUCCGGCUAAAGACCCAGGGUCACCGAAGGGGCCGGAAGAGGAAGUGGAGCGUGGUGCCGGAAAAGAAGCUCUCCCCGCUUCCUUCGGAGGCGGUGUCUGAAUCGGAAGCAGUUUUGUCAGAGCCGGAUACCUCUGCCCCAGAACCCAAACAGAACGAACCCCCUGCUCCCCAUUUGCUAUCAGAGAAUCCUGCCCCCGAAUCAUCUCCUCAGCCCAAAUCCCCCGUUUCAAACCCAGAGCCAGAACAGGAGGCAGUUGUCCAGGAACUGCAGCCAGCCCCAGAGGCCCCUGUCCCAGAACCAAAGCCUUCCAUACCUGAAGGUGACGCUCUUCCUUCGCCCAACCAGGUAUCUUGGAAACAGGAGUCCCAGCAGCAGCAGCCCUGUCCACAGAGCGACAGAGCGGCCCUCCUUUCCGAGAAGGGGCCUUCUCGGGUUGCCCUUUCCAUAAGGGCACGGUGUUUGAAACGGGGUCGUGGGCGGCGCAUGGCAGCUCAGCCAUUGCCAGGCAAGAUGAGGGAGGAGGCCGGGGGAACGGCUCAGCAGUCCGGAGUCGCUGGCUCCGAGGAGGCCCCCACUCUCAAAACUACCUUCCUGAAAAAUAUCCGCCAGUU